AGUGAACGCUGGCGGUAGGCCUAACACAUGCAAGUCGAACGGCAGCACAGUAAGAGCUUGCUCUUACGGGUGGCGAGUGGUGGACGGGUGAGGAAUACAUCGGAGUCUACUUUUUCGUGGGGGAUAACGUAGGGAAACUUACGCUAAUACCGCAUACGACCUACGGGUGAAAGCAGGGGAUCUUCGGACCUUGCGCGAUUGAAUGAGCCGAUGUCGGAUUAGCUAGUUGGCGGGGUAAAGGCCCACCAAGGCGACGAUCCGUAGCUGGUCUGAGAGGAUGAUCAGCCACACUGGAACUGAGACACGGUCCAGACUCCUACGGGAGGCAGCAGUGGGGAAUAUUGGACAAUGGGCGCAAGCCUGAUCCAGCCAUACCGCGUGGGUGAAGAAGGCCUUCGGGUUGUAAAGCCCUUUUGUUGGGAAAGAAAAGCAGCAGGUUAAUACCCCGCUGUUCUGACGGUACCCAAAGAAUAAGCACCGGCUAACUUCGUG
This 492-nucleotide ribosomal RNA is filed under the name uncultured bacterium. RNAcentral's name for it is "partial 16S ribosomal RNA". It matches the Rfam family "Bacterial small subunit ribosomal RNA", at positions 29 to 507 of the family's 1533-position model. The record is from RNAcentral.